Molecule: long non-coding RNA, 213 nt
Filed under: Homo sapiens (human)
Lineage: Eukaryota; Metazoa; Chordata; Mammalia; Primates; Hominidae
Description: non-protein coding lnc-IAH1-4:1
Source: RNAcentral
AAGGAUUCUAAGUUGCACUUGAAUCUUUUCUGUCUUCAUCUCCACUGCUGCUGUUCGAGUCCAAGUCUACUCUCCCCUCUGAAUUCCUGCAACCACCUCCAUCUCCUCCCCUAUAGCUGAUUCCUGGAACAGACCUGGCCUCAAGCCUCUGCUGCUUGAAGGCCUUAAUGAAGUCCUUGUGAUAAAGAUGAAGUCCAGGCACCUUUGCUUGCU